This 503-nucleotide ribosomal RNA is filed under the name uncultured bacterium. RNAcentral describes it as "partial 16S ribosomal RNA". It matches the Rfam family "Bacterial small subunit ribosomal RNA", at positions 30 to 523 of the family's 1533-position model. The record is from RNAcentral.
AUUGAACGCUGGCGGCAGGCUUAACACAUGCAAGUCGAGCGGGGUGAUGGUGCUUGCACUAUCACUUAGCGGCGGACGGGUGAGUAAUGCUUAGGAAUCUGCCUAUUAGUGGGGGACAACAUCUCGAAAGGGAUGCUAAUACCGCAUACGUCCUACGGGAGAAAGCAGGGGAUCACUUGUGACCUUGCGCUAAUAGAUGAGCCUAAGUCGGAUUAGCUAGUUAGUGGGGUAAAGGCCUACCAAGGCGACGAUCUGCAGCGGGUCUGAGAGGAUGAUCCGCCACACUGGGACUGAGACACGGCCCAGACUCCUACGGGAGGCAGCAGUGGGGAAUAUUGGACAAUGGGGGGAACCCUGAUCCAGCCAUGCCGCGUGUGUGAAGAAGGCCUUAUGGUUGUAAAGCACUUUAAGCGAGGAGGAGGCUCUUUUGGUUAAUACCCAAGAUGAGUGGACGUUACUCGCAGAAUAAGCACCGGCUAACUCUGUGCCAGCAGCCGCAGUAA